RNAcentral lists this ribosomal RNA (774 nucleotides) under uncultured Neocallimastigales. RNAcentral describes it as "partial large subunit ribosomal RNA". It matches the Rfam family "Eukaryotic large subunit ribosomal RNA", at positions 23 to 645 of the family's 3401-position model. Lineage: Eukaryota; Fungi; Neocallimastigomycota; Neocallimastigomycetes; Neocallimastigales. The record is from RNAcentral.
AGAGAGAGACAUGCGCGCAUAUCAAUAAGCGGAGGAAAAGAAACUAACUAAGGAUUCCCUCAGUAACGGCGAGUGAAGCGGGAAGAGCUCAAAUUUGAAAUCUUCAAGGUUCUACCUUGACGAAUUGUAGUUUAAAGAAGUGUUUUCUGUUGGAGUUUUGGUAAAAGUUCUUUGGAAUAGGACAUCAUAGAGGGUGAGAAUCCCGUAUUUGACCAUUAUUUCCAGCUUUGUGAUACACUUUCAAAGAGUCGGAUUGUUUGGGAAUGCAGUCCAAAAUGGGUGGUAAAUUUCAUCUAAAGCUAAAUAUUGGCGAGAGACCGAUAGCGAACAAGUACCGUGAGGGAAAGAUGAAAAGAACUUUGAAAAGAGAGUUAAACAGUACGUGAAAUUGUCAAAAGGGAAGCGUUUGACACCAGUGUUGUUUUCUCGAAAAUCAAUUAAAAAAGGCAGGAUUUUGUGUUGUAUUGACUUUAUCAGCUUUCUGCACUCUUUUCUUGUCUUUUUUAAUGCACUUUUCGUUUAACAAGUCAACAUCAAUUUCUUUUGUUGUAAAAGGGUCAUUGGAAGGUGGCUUUCUUUUCGGAGAAAGUGUUUAUAGCCUUUGGCCUCUGCAAUCGGAGAGAUUGAGGUCUGCAGCGUAGAUCCUUCGGGGUUAGAUACAUUUGUGCUAAGUUAUAGCCUUUCAUAGACAACUUGUUGACUAUGAUCAGUCAUGUAGCUUACUCGCUUAUGCUAUUUUACCUACGCUUAGGAUGUUGAUGUGAUACUGCGAGC